RNAcentral lists this ribosomal RNA (490 nucleotides) under uncultured bacterium. RNAcentral's name for it is "partial 16S ribosomal RNA". It matches the Rfam family "Bacterial small subunit ribosomal RNA", at positions 30 to 507 of the family's 1533-position model. The record is from RNAcentral.
AUUGAACGCUGGCGGCAGGCCUAACACAUGCAAGUCGAAUGGUAACAGAAAGCAGCUUGCUGCUUUGCUGACGAGUGGCGGACGGGUGAGUAAUGUCUGGGAAACUGCCUGAUGGAGGGGGAUAACUACUGGAAACGGUAGCUACUACCGCAUAACGUCGCAAGACCAAAGAGGGGGACCUUCGGGCCUCUUGCCAUCGGAUGUGCCCAGAUGGGAUUAGCUAGUAGGUGGGGUAAAGGCUCACCUAGGCGACGAUCCCUAGCUGGUCUGAGAGGAUGACCAGCCACACUGGAACGGAGACACGGUCCAGACGCCUAAGGGAGGCAGCAGUGGGGAAUAUUGCACAAUGGGCGCAAGCCUGAUGCAGCCAUGCCGAGUGUAUGAAGAAGGCCUUCGGGUUGUAAAGUACUUUCAGCGGGGAGGAAGGGAGUAAAGUUAAUACCUUUGCUCAUUGACGUUACCCGCAGAAGAAGCACCGGCUAACUCCGUG